UCGUAAACUCCUGUCAGGCGGGACGAAAAGGCGCCGGCAAACAGCCUGCGUCUCUGAUGGUACCGCCAGAGGAAGCCCCGGCUAACUCCGUGC
This 93-nucleotide ribosomal RNA is filed under the name uncultured bacterium. RNAcentral's name for it is "partial 16S ribosomal RNA". The record is from RNAcentral.